Molecule: ribosomal RNA, 274 nt
Filed under: uncultured bacterium
Lineage: Bacteria
Description: partial 16S ribosomal RNA
Rfam family: Bacterial small subunit ribosomal RNA
Source: RNAcentral
AUACGGAGGGGGCUAGCGUUGUUCGGAAUUACUGGGCGUAAAGCGCACGUAGGCGGUUUACCUAGUUAGGCGUGAAAGCCCUGGGCUCAACCCAGGAACUGCGUUUAAUACUGGUAGACUAGAGACCGAGAGAGGAUGGCGGAAUUCCCAGUGUAGAGGUGAAAUUCGUAGAUAUUGGGAAGAACACCGGUUGCGAAGGCGGCCAUCUGGAUCGGAACUGACGCUGAGGUGCGAAAGCGUGGGGAGCAAACAGAAUUAGAAACCCCGGUAGUCC